Molecule: ribosomal RNA, 795 nt
Filed under: uncultured bacterium
Lineage: Bacteria
Description: bacterial SSU rRNA
Rfam family: Bacterial small subunit ribosomal RNA
Source: RNAcentral
AGUGGCGCACGGGUGAGUAACGCGUGGGUAAUCUACCUCCGAAUUGGGGAUAACAUUGCGAAAGCGGUGCUAAUACCGAAUGACAUCACCGAGACUACGGCCUGGGUGAUCAAAGGUGGCCUCUACAUGUAAGCUAUUGUUUGGAGAUGAGCCCGCGUACCAUUAGCUAGUUGGUAGGGUAAUGGCCUACCAAGGCUACGAUGGUUAGCUGGUCUGAGAGGAUGAUCAGCCACACUGGAACUGACACACGGUUCAGACUCCUACGGGAGGCAGCAGUGAGGAAUUUUGCGCAAUGGGGGAAACCCUGACGCAGCAACGCCGCGUGAGUGAUGAAGGCUUUCGGGUCGUAAAGCUCUGUCAAGUGGGAAGAACCUGCUUUAUGAUAAUACCAUGAAGCACUGACGGUACCACUGAAGGAAGCACCGGCUAACUCCGUGCCAGCAGCCGCGGUAAUACGGGGGGUGCUAGCGUUAUUCGGAAUCAUUGGGCGUAAAGGGCGCGUAGGCGGUCUCUUAAGUCAGAUGUGAAAGCCCUCGGCUUAACCGAGGAAGUGCACUUGAUACUAAGUGACUUGAGUAUGGGAGAGGGAAGCGGAAUUCCUGGUGUAGCGGUGAAAUGCGUAGAUAUAUGGAGGAACACCGGUGGCGAAGGCGGCUUCCUGGACCAAUACUGACGCUGAGGCGCGAAGGCGUGGGGAGCAAACAGGAUUAGAUACCCCGGUAGUCCACGCAGUAAACGGUGAACACUAGGUGUAGCGGGUAUUGACCCUCGCUGUGCCGAAGCUAACGCCAUUAA